This 485-nucleotide ribosomal RNA is filed under the name uncultured bacterium. Its description in RNAcentral is "partial 16S ribosomal RNA". It matches the Rfam family "Bacterial small subunit ribosomal RNA", at positions 30 to 507 of the family's 1533-position model. The record is from RNAcentral.
UUGAACGCUGGCGGCAUGCCUUACACAUGCCAGUCGAACGGCAGCACGGGUGCUUGCCCCUGGUGGCGAGUGGCGAACGGGUGAGUAAUACAUCGGAACAUGUCCUGUAGUGGGGGAUAGCCCGGCGAAAGCCGGAUUAAUACCGCAUACGAUCUACGGAUGAAAGCGGGGGACCUUCGGGCCUCGCGCUAUAGGGUUGGCCGAUGGCUGAUUAGCUAGUUGGUGGGGUAAAGGCCUACCAAGGCGACGAUCAGUAGCUGGUCUGAGAGGACGACCAGCCACACUGGGACUGAGACACGGCCCAGACUCCUACGGGAGGCAGCAGUGGGGAAUUUUGGACAAUGGGCGAAAGCCUGAUCCAGCAAUGCCGCGUGUGUGAAGAAGGCCUUCGGGUUGUAAAGCACUUUUGUCCGGAAAGAAAUCCUUGGCCCUAAUACGGUCGGGGGAUGACGGUACCGGAAGAAUAAGCACCGGCUAACUACGUG